RNAcentral lists this transfer RNA (70 nucleotides) under Trachypeplus jacobsoni. RNAcentral's name for it is "tRNA-Val". Lineage: Eukaryota; Metazoa; Arthropoda; Insecta; Hemiptera; Tingidae. The record is from RNAcentral.
CAAGUUAUAGUUUUUGGUAAACUUUAUUAUUUACAUUAAUAAAUUAUUCGUUCGAGUCGAUUUAGCUUGA